Molecule: ribosomal RNA, 468 nt
Filed under: uncultured bacterium
Lineage: Bacteria
Description: partial 16S ribosomal RNA
Rfam family: Bacterial small subunit ribosomal RNA
Source: RNAcentral
GACGAACGCUGGCGGCGUGCUUAACACAUGCAAGUCGAACGGAAAGGCCCUGCUUUUGUGGGGUGCUCGAGUGGCGAACGGGUGAGUAACACGUGAGUAACCUGCCCUUGACUUUGGGAUAACUUCAGGAAACUGGGGCUAAUACCGGAUAGGAGCUCCUGCUGCAUGGUGGGGGUUGGAAAGUUUCGGCGGUUGGGGAUGGACUCGCGGCUUAUCAGCUUGUUGGUGGGGUAGUGGCUUACCAAGGCUUUGACGGGUAGCCGGCCUGAGAGGGUGACCGGCCACAUUGGGACUGAGGUACGGACCAGACUCCUACGGGAGGCAGCAGUGGGGAGUAUUGCACAAUGGGCGGAAGCCUGAUGCAGCAACGCCGCGUGCGGGAUGACGGCCUUCGGGUUGUAAACCGCUUUCGCCUGUGACGAAGCGUGAGUGACGGUAAUGGGUAAAGAAGCACCGGCUAACUACGUG